GAGUGGAUCCAGACAGUGAGUGAUUGGCAUCAGUGCAUUGACUGCAACAGGAACAGGUGUUAAAGUGACUUCUCCCAUCCUAUUAAAUAUCCUUUUCAUACAUUGAUUCACAGACUUGUUUCCAUUCUCAUGACUGAAUGGGCAACCCUGUAAUUUGUCGGCUACAUCCAUUUUUUUCCACCUCCUGGCAACAGUUUCGCUUCAGUUUCUGCCAAGAUUCCCUAUUGUCUCCAUAAGUUUCUGCCCAAGUCCGUAUGUCACAUCAUCUGGAAAAUCAAUUCUGCGGCGUUACUCUCCCCAACUAUGACACUGGAAAAUGGCAACAACCAUGAAACGGAUCCCUCCUUGGUUCACCCAGCAUUGGGGAAAUUGCUCAGCAGUGUUACACACCCAGUGUCAAGUACAGCAAAGAAGCCCAGGCAAGGGGACUGACUGUCAGUGGUUUCUUGGUGAUUCAGAGCACACUUUCCCCAAAGCCAAUUUCUGGCUGGUGGGAGUCCUUACUUUUCCUCACGCUGGGGAUUGUUUACCACUGCAAGGAUCAUGAACUCUCUCCAUAAGUGAUGAGAAAACUUAGUGGUAUGGUUUGGAUAAGUGUCCCCCAAAGGCUCAUAUGUUAAGGGUUUUGUCACUAGUCUACGGCAUUAUUGGAAUGAGGUGGUACCCUUAAGAAGUGAUGCUUUGUUGCAGGAAGUUAGAUCACUGGGGGCAUGCUCUUGUAGGGGAUAUAUGAACCCUGAU
Molecule: long non-coding RNA, 741 nt
Filed under: Marmota marmota marmota (Alpine marmot)
Lineage: Eukaryota; Metazoa; Chordata; Mammalia; Rodentia; Sciuridae
Description: lncRNA (ENSMMMG00000017660.1)
Source: RNAcentral